CAGUAGCCGCGGUAAUACGUAGGUGGCAAGCGUUGUCCGGAACUAUUGGGCGUAAAGGACUCGCAGGCGGUUUCUUAAGUCUGAUGUGAAAGCCCCCGGCUCAACCGGGGAGGGUCAUUGGAAACUGGGAAACUAGAGUGCAGAAGAGGAGAGUGGAAUUCCACGUGUAGCGGUGAAAUGCGUAGAGAUGUGGAGGAACACCAACGGCGAAAGCACUCUGCUGGGCCGACACUGACACUGAGAGACGAAAGCUAGGGGAGCAAAUGGGAUUAGAGACCCCCGUAGUCCCUGUCUCUUAUAA
RNAcentral lists this ribosomal RNA (301 nucleotides) under uncultured bacterium. Its description in RNAcentral is "partial 16S ribosomal RNA". It matches the Rfam family "Bacterial small subunit ribosomal RNA", at positions 509 to 809 of the family's 1533-position model. The record is from RNAcentral.